GGGUUGUGAGGUUAAGCGACUAAGCGUACACGGUGGAUGCCCUGGCAGUCAGAGGCGAUGAAGGACGUGCUAAUCUGCGAUAAGCGCCGGUAAGGUGAUAUGAACCGUUAUAACCGGCGAUUUCCGAAUGGGGAAACCCAGUGUGACUCGUCACACUAUCAUUAACUGAAUCCAUAGGUUAAUGAGGCGAACCGGGGGAACUGAAACAUCUAAGUACCCCGAGGAAAAGAAAUCAACCGAGAUUCCCCCAGUAGCGGCGAGCGAACGGGGAGGAGCCCAGAGCCUGAAUCAGCAUGUGUGUUAGUGGAAGCGUCUGGAAAGGCGCGCGAUACAGGGUGACAGCCCCGUACACAAAAGCGCAUGUGCUGUGAGCUCGAUGAGUAGGGCGGGACACGUGGUAUCCUGUCUGAAUAUGGGGGGACCAUCCUCCAAGGCUAAAUACUCCUGACUGACCGAUAGUGAACCAGUACCGUGAGGGAAAGGCGAAAAGAACCCCGGCGAGGGGAGUGAAAAAGAACCUGAAACCGUGUACGUACAAGCAGUGGGAGCACCCUUUGGGGUGUGACUGCGUACCUUUUGUAUAAUGGGUCAGCGACUUAUAUUCUGUAGCAAGGUUAACCGAAUAGGGGAGCCGGAGGGAAACCGAGUCUUAACCGGGCGUUAAGUUGCAGGGUAUAGACCCGAAACCCGGUGAUCUAGCCAUGGGCAGGUUGAAGGUUGGGUAACACUAACUGGAGGACCGAACCGACUAAUGUUGAAAAAUUAGCGGAUGACCUGUGGCUGGGGGUGAAAGGCCAAUCAAACCGGGAGAUAGCUGGUUCUCCCCGAAAGCUAUUUAGGUAGCGCCUCGUGAAUUCAUCUCCGGGGGUAGAGCACUGUUUCGGCUAGGGGGCCAUCCCGGCUUACCAACCCGAUGCAAACUGCGAAUACCGGAGAAUGUUAUCACGGGAGACACACGGCGGGUGCUAACGUCCGUCGUGAAGAGGGAAACAACCCAGACCGCCAGCUAAGGUCCCAAAGUCAUGGUUAAGUGGGAAACGAUGUGGGAAGGCCCAGACAGCCAGGAUGUUGGCUUAGAAGCAGCCAUCAUUUAAAGAAAGCGUAAUAGCUCACUGGUCGAGUCGGCCUGCGCGGAAGAUGUAACGGGGCUAAACCAUGCACCGAAGCUGCGGCAGCGAACGUAUCACUUAAAGCGAUUCAGCGGGUUACGAUUGACGGAGCGAAGCGACGUCAAAGCGUAUACAAAGUCGAGUCGGUUUAAGGAUACGUUCGUUGGGUAGGGGAGCGUUCUGUAAGCCUGUGAAGGUGGCCUGUGAGGGUUGCU
This 1324-nucleotide ribosomal RNA is filed under the name Salmonella enterica subsp. enterica serovar Muenchen. RNAcentral describes it as "partial 23S ribosomal RNA". It matches the Rfam family "Bacterial large subunit ribosomal RNA", at positions 1 to 1274 of the family's 2925-position model. Lineage: Bacteria; Pseudomonadati; Pseudomonadota; Gammaproteobacteria; Enterobacterales; Enterobacteriaceae. The record is from RNAcentral.